Molecule: long non-coding RNA, 3709 nt
Organism: Canis lupus familiaris (dog)
Lineage: Eukaryota; Metazoa; Chordata; Mammalia; Carnivora; Canidae
Exons: 3
Source: RefSeq, a predicted model, not a curated record
AGAAGGACUACCAGUUUUUCCACACUACCAGCUGGUUGGCAUUCCUCUGUUCAACUAAAUGAUUAAGAAUUAGGACGAGGAGCCAUCCAGAUGUAUUUCGGGUGUAACGGCCAUCCAGUGCUCUCUCAGUCAAGGAGGUGUGACCAUCAAGCCAGCUAAGGAUUGUCCUUGGGAGAAAGAAAGUAGCAUUUCGUCCAGGAAUGGCUAGAGCAGAAUCUCACAUUUUCAAAAGAUGUCUGUGUGCUUCCUCCACACCUUGCUCAUCAUCGUCACCCAGGAAGUGGCUGAUGGAGGAUUAGUUCUCUCUGAGAUGACCAGACUCAGUGACCAAACUACCUUACCAAGCUGUGGACAAGGAAAGGGUGGUGGUGGAGGAGAAGGGAGGCUGCGGCCAUCACGGGACUCAGAUGAGGUCAAAGGCCAGAGGGUUGAUGCCCGAGUGGACUGAAACAGCCAGCCUGUAACCUAAAAAUAUGCCUGGCAACGAUGAGGCGCCACCAAGAACCCUGAGGUGAAGGUGGCACGAGGUCCACGUAGAAUGCUGUGCAUCGGCCUUGAAUUCGGCCCACCGAGCAGAGUGAAUAUUUCCAUUUUUAAACAUUGAGAUAUGAUUGACAAACAGAACACUGCAUUCGUUUCAAGUGUUAACACCGUGAUUUGACAUUUGCAUACAUUGCAAAAUGAUCACCAUAAUAGGUUUACUUAACAUCUGUCAUUGCAUGUAGUCAUUCAAUUUUUUUUCCCUCGAGAUGAGACCUUCGAAGAUCUACUCCACUAGCAACUUUCAAAUAUGUGAUAUAGUAUCACUGACCAUAGUCACCAGGCUGCAUCUCGUAUCCCCACGACUUAUUCAUCUUAUAACUGGAAGUCUGUACCUUGUAACUCCCUUCACCCGCAUCGCCCACCCCUGUCCCUUCAUCAUUGGCAACUAUCAAUCUCUUGUCUGUAUUUAUGAGUUCAGUUUUUUUUCUAGCUGUAUUUUUUUUAAAGGAUUACACAUAUAAGUGAGAUCACAUAGUAUUUUUCAGCUUUGAUUCUACAUAGCUGGUGCUGAGGCUGGAAAGCUUGAGUAGCCCAGUGGUUUUUGUUUCAAAAACCAUAGAAAAAUUGGUUGAGAAUCAAAAUUUUCACUGGAUCUCGCUUAGGUGCACCAAGCUUUUAUGGGAAUCUCUGUGUGUUGAAGGCCUGACAAGCCAGUAGCUUCGACUCAUAGGGGGAUAAAGUGUAGGGGGAUAAAGUUUCCAGAGGGAGAGUUGACUUGACACUUUUCCAUGUAAAGUUGACUUACCAGUGGAGCCAGGCCUAGUGUGUUUUUGAGCAUUCCAGGUCCCCUCCCACCUUCGGAGCUAUUGAGUGCAAGCUGCUGACCCACUUCUAAAUGGGAAUAUCAGACUGCGGCGUCGUUAGGCCUCCCUGGGUUGGGUAUUUGUUUUUGGCAAGAGCUCAUCGGUGAGGGGAUAGCUGCUUCCAAAAGGACUGUACCUAGUAGCCAUAUCCAGGAGGCAACAGGUGCAGAAGCACAAGGGUGUCUUCAGGGCAGAGGCGGCUUUCUACUGCACAGUGUCUCAUAUACAAGAUCAGAUAUUUGUAUCUCAAAGGGAUCAUUAAAGCUAUGGGGUUGCAAAGAUCUAGAGUGUUCUACAGCUGGCUGGAUAGGUUCCAGGACAACUUGCUGGUUUGAGCCCCACUCAGAGAAUGCUGACCUGUGUGCAUUUGUGGAUACGAAGAAUGGAGCAAAACGCCUGAGUGAGACCGCACUGUCUCCGAUGCCUAACAUGUCACAACAUGAUAAUUCUCCUUUUUUGUCAUGGAAGAUCCAAAGAAAUAGUAGGUUUUCCUUGAUUUCUGGACGCACUGAGCAUUGUUAGUCCACCUAAGUAGUCCUAAUAAAUUACGUGGUGUGACGGCCCCUCUGUAUUUUUGUCAGGGUUUAUUAGCCACACCUGCCGAGGAGGUGUGAUGAUUGGAAACGUAACUGCUGACUUGCCAACCAACAGAACGUAUUCUGUCUAGUGACAGCUUUGGACAUUAGAGGGCAGAGGCCUGCACGCUGAUUUCUACCUGCCCAUCGGUAGAAAGUUCCAGGAGUGUUUGUCCCACUAACAGUUCUUUCACUGUGUCUCUUCACUGAUUGAGAGCCACCCAUAUGGCACUUAUGGGACAUGAAGUUUAAAUAUAUAACACAUCAGUCCUACUGUACGUUCGGGUGUAAGGACAUCAGCAGCACAUUGAACUGACCCCAAAGAAUCCCCCCAAACCAUCAUGUUAGACUCCACCCCCUCCCACUACCCCAUGCACCCCCCUGUGAACUGUCCAAACAGCAACAGUGGAAUUCGGACAUCUUCUUGCCCUGGAAGCCCUGGGGAGGAUGGUGAGUUGGGUGCCUAUGUUUAGCAGUCAUGGAAGUCCGAGUGUCUCCUGUCCCUGAAGCAUCCCAGCACAUACAUGAAUAGGUGCCGAUGGUUUUCAGUGCCUCUUGAGGACAGGGAAACCUCAGCCUGCUGCUAAUUUUCUUUCUCCAUUAACCAGCUGAGGUUAGGGUAGUGAGGGGAGUGAAGAACGGAGGACACAGAGGGAGAGACUGUGCCACAUUAGUAAGCACAGCACGUCCACUUUUGGUUUCAGGUGGUGCAGGAACUGAGAAAAGACCUCUAGUGUUUUUACCUGCUCACAUGUCUGAGUUCAUCACUGACACCAUCAGUUUCAGCUCGAGGGACUCCUGGACCCACAGCUACAGACACGUUGCCUCUCAACUGGGGUAGCGACGCUUGCUGCUGGGUUGUGGUGAUCGUAUCCCUUCCCCCUCCUGCCUGGAGAACAGUGACCAGGCAUCACAUCACUGCCGGGGCAACUUACAUUCCAGUCUACUUUUCCUCAACCGCUCAGCCUAUUAGUAUUCAUGAACAGGUAGGAGAGUAGGGGACACUAGUUUCCUCCCUGCAACGCCCCCUCUCCCUGCCUUUGCUUACUCCAGGCAAGAGCAUUCUUUCUCAAAUCCUAAGGAGUCCUUCUAUAUCCUGAACACGGGCCUAUGAGGCCCUUAUUCUUUUUCUUCCAGAAAGCCAUGGCUCUGUUAACACCUGAUCUCCAUUGAUGGAAGCUACUUGCCAACUAAUAAGUGAGCUUAUCGGGUAUUCAUGGAAGAUACGGGAGGACAUGAGACUCCAGGUCAGAAACAAAGGACUCGUAUCACUAACAGCACAUCAGGAAAUAUGAGCCUCACGUUUGCAAGGCUGUACUUUGCCCCAUAGCCCACCAAGUCCCAUGGGGGUGAUUUUUGUCACAGCUGAGAAACACUGAGCUUAGGGACCCUGAAUCUUUUGUAAUGAGCUACAAGAAAUUCAGAACAAUCUUUGCCCUAGAAGAAGGCGUUACCUUCUAAGGACAAGCCGCGAGUGUAACACUAAGGAGGUUGGACUGCAUCCCUAGAGUAAGAAAACCUUGAAGGUUUAUAGAUGGAGUUAUGGCACCACCACUCUGCAUAGGCUGAGCAAUAUUUAUUGACUAUUGUAAAAUAAAUAUAAGAAAGUAUUGGAUUUAAUGACAGUUGAAAGGCGAAUGUGAUCAUACUUGUAAAAUGUACUAAGGGGCACAGUCGAGGCAAAAGAAAACAGUGGAAGACAGUCUUUCCAAACUAGAGGGAAACAUAUAGGUGUGAGAGGAGCAGAAAAAAACGACAACACCUGUUUUAAAACUUGUUUACUGGAAA